Molecule: long non-coding RNA, 1923 nt
Filed under: Nicotiana tabacum (common tobacco)
Lineage: Eukaryota; Viridiplantae; Streptophyta; Magnoliopsida; Solanales; Solanaceae
Description: long non-coding RNA (NTAB_LNC012106)
Source: RNAcentral
AAAAGAAGCCAAAACCCUGAGAUCUCGCCCUUAAUCGUCAGACUAGCGAGAAGCAAGAACAUAGGUUUUUCCCAGUGAAAAACACGAGGGUUUUGCCCGCAAAGAUUUUCUGUCUCUCACACAUUUAAGUAUAACUCCCUCUCUCUCUCGCACUCACACACACACUGUAAUUGUUGUUUGUAGCUGUAAUUGAUUUAUUUAUAGUUCACAAAUAAAAUGGUUUUGGAGGAUUCAUAUUGCCAAUUUCAGACUAUUUGAUUUAUUUGUAGCUCACCAUUUUUUUUUCUGAUUUCUAUAAAUUGUCCUUGUUUAGUGGUGCAUUUUAUAUGGAUUUCCUUGAAAAAUGUUGUAUCUUGAGAAGUUAUUUUUGGAUCAUUUUUUAGUAUUUGGUUGGAUAUAGAAGUAGGUGACUUAUGGUAUUCCUAUAAACUACUAGCAUGGGCGGAGCUAAAUUGAAGAAAAGGCAGGGGGGGGGGGGUUCAAUUGAAUCCCUUUGUCGAAAAAUUACAGUAUGCUAAUACGGCAGAAACUAACUAUUUUUUUGUUAUAUUUAAACUGUUGAACCCACUUGACAUGAGUAAAAAUUCUAGUGAAGUGGCAAAGGAUUCAAAAAAUUUCCUUAGAUCAUAGGUUCCAAUUUCAGGCAUGACAAUCUAGUUUUUUUUUGGGGUUGAGAAAGUAACAUAACAAUCUAGUAAUUUUUGAAUCCCCUUGUAUGAAAUCCUGGCUCCACCACUACUAUUACGCGGAAACUAGAGGAUAGGGUGUGAUGGUGGUGUUUGGUAGUAGUUUUUAGUGUUUGCUUGGUAGCAAUAUCUAAUUGUUGGUUGAAUCAAAUGAUAUGAAGUAAGGAUUGAGGCUUGAGAUAUUUGUAAAGAAAAUAAUUUCCACUAGUAAGCUGCAAUGUAAGUUGUUUUCUCCUAUUUGCUGGAUAAUGUUGUCCUUGGAGAAUACAAUUUCUCGAUUUUGAGGUAAGAAAAUUAUGUAAAAGGAUUUCGUCAAGGAAAACAUUGAUGGCUGAAUAGUUAAAGCACCCAACUCAUUAUUGUCGACUUCGUAGGGUUCUCGUCUAAAUUGUUUGCUUUAUCUUAGUCUUCCACACUCUUUGUUGCCUUCGUGUAGUCAAUGGGCUUUUGUUGGUCUGUAAAGUUUUUCUUUCUGUUCGUGUCAAAUUGUCCUUCUCUUAUUCUUAUAUCUUUUAAUUUGACAACAUUUUAAGGGAGUUUCCCUUGUGGAAAGAUUCUAUUCAUCAAGUUACCUACAAAAGAGAAAAGGAGUGUAUUCUACUCUUCAAGUUUGUUACCAAUCUCAGUGAUUACAAAUUGUUUUUUCGAUCUAACAAAAAUUAGUUAAGAACUCUGUCUAUGUGAGUUUUGGAUAGCUGGUCUGAGCUAAAAUGAAGGAGGAGGGUUGCAGCAAGUUGACAUGCAACGGAAAUAUUAAUCAUAAUAUGAUGAAUCUCUAAAGAUUUUAUAAGGAGGAUUCACACAACCUACAACCACUAGUUUGGAAUCGAGGUUUAGUUGAUCAAACAAUGUUUAGGACAACUUCUGCAUAGAUCUUGCUGUCUUUUUGUUUUUUGGUCACUCAGAGAGGUUGCUACUUCAAAAACGGAAUCUGAAAUUAACUCAUGAAUUAUUCAGUAUCUUGAUUACGCCAGAAGUAGAGAACACCUAUUUCUGUUAUUUACCUCUUCAGAGCUGGAAACGUUAUCCAAAAAUUCUUUGGAAUCCAUCGGAUGCUGAUCUGUCGGAGAUGAUUUUUCUUUCAGGAUAGGAAAACUAAAUGUUGGCCAGAGGCAGAAAAGUUGCUGGGAAGGGGGAGACAGUGGCUGCACAUUAUGCUUUUGGCCCACUUGAAGAUGAUUUUAUUAUUAAGCAUAGACUUCUUACUCGCACAACAACCACUAGAGGUGAACCGCCG